RNAcentral lists this ribosomal RNA (759 nucleotides) under Triticum aestivum (bread wheat). RNAcentral describes it as "partial small subunit ribosomal RNA". Lineage: Eukaryota; Viridiplantae; Streptophyta; Magnoliopsida; Poales; Poaceae. The record is from RNAcentral.
AUGCUCCCCUACAUGUACACGCUCAUGUACGAGGCGCACACAACAGGGGCGCCCAUCGCCCGCCCGCUCUUCUUCUCCUACCCGCAGGACGCCGACACCUACGGCGUGGACAAGCAGUUCCUGCUCGGGCGCGGCGUGCUUGUAUCUCCGGUGCUACAGCCGGGUGCCACCACCGUCGACGCCUAUUUCCCGGCGGGCCGGUGGUUUAGUCUCUAUGACCACAACUACCCCCUCACCGUCGCCACACGGACCGGCAAGCGUGUUACACUUCAGGCGCCAGUGGACUCGGCUAACGUGCACCUGGCCGGCGGCAACAUCCUACCAUUGCAGCAGCCGGCGCUGACCAUGUCUGCCGCACGGCAAGGCGAGUUUCACCUCCUUGUGGCGCUCACGGAGAACGGCACAGCCAGUGGGGAGCUAUUCUUGGAUGACGGCGAGUCCAUGGAGAUGGGCGGGGUGGGAGGCAAGUGGACCCUGGUGAAAUUUAGCUGCAGCACGGAGGAGAGCGAGGGUAUCAUCACGACCACGGUGAGUUCCCAUGUGGUGCAGAACUCAUACGCGCCGAGUCGGGCGCAGGUCAUCGGCAACGUGGUCUUUAUGGGGCUCCAGUCGCCAGCAAAAGGGUUCACUAUCUAUGUGAACAACGUUGAGCUCAAGGCAGCCCGCACCAAGUCCCGGACGAGUGGAGCGUUUAGCGUCAGUGGCCUGUCGCUGGCCAUUGGAAAGGAGUUCCAGAUCAAGGUCGUCAUGUCCCAUUAA